Long non-coding RNA from Alligator sinensis (Chinese alligator), 789 nucleotides. RefSeq lists it as uncharacterized. Lineage: Eukaryota; Metazoa; Chordata; Crocodylia; Alligatoridae. The transcript is spliced from 3 exons. The record is from RefSeq and is a predicted model, not a curated record.
GCGCCUGUGAAGGAAGAAUAGAAGAGAGCUAUUAAACUACAAGGAAAAAGAGAAGAACAGAACACAUCUGUAGCCAAGUCCUUUUUGUUGACAGGAAUGGAGCAAAAAUGAAAUUUUGAUUAACGUAUGCCAACAAAAAAGUAAUAAAGGACAAAGAAAAAAAAGUGUGAAGAGGAAGUGAUAUUGAUCCCGUUUCAUAAAGAAAAUACGUUUGAAUCCAGCCAUCAAGUGACAAAUUGGUUGAUGGCUCAAAAUGGAGAUGAGCAUAAUCCCUACCCUGACUGUAUGUAGACCAAGAAACAAAUAUCCAUCACUGUACAAAAAUAUUUUCCUAACAAUUAAACUUGAAGAACCACAAAAAGAAGAAAGGUUCAACUAAAGCAACUGAAUCAGAGCAGUGAAGCAGAAAGUCUACUCUGAACUAUCUGAUAAAUUAAUCUACAAAUCCCACUACAUUCAGAAGGACUGCAUUGGAACAGGAUAUGGAGAAGUGAUAUGCAUUCAGACAGGCAGGCCUCUGACAUCACAUGGCAGUGCUGGUGGAGCCUGAUUUCAUUUUUUUGAUGUGCAUUUAGUUUUCAGAAAUCUGGGAAGCAUUAUUUCAGUUUGUAUGGGUUUGACACCAUAGAGCCAACGUGUUUCUGUACUUGAUGUACAUUUCAACAGACCCCUUUAUAAGCAAAAUGGCCAUUUACAGAACUAAUAUUAAAGCAAAAGCAAUUUCCUAAAAGAUUUGUUUCAACAAUCAUUAAAAAGAAAGAAAGAGUGGUAAUUAUCACACUGCAUUUU